Molecule: ribosomal RNA, 248 nt
Filed under: uncultured Actinomycetales bacterium
Lineage: Bacteria; Bacillati; Actinomycetota; Actinomycetes; Actinomycetales
Description: partial 16S ribosomal RNA
Rfam family: Bacterial small subunit ribosomal RNA
Source: RNAcentral
CAGGGUACUCGAGUGGCGAACGGGUGAGUAACACGUGGGUGAUCUGCCCUGCACUUCGGGAUAAGCUUGGGAAACUGGGUCUAAUACCGGAUAGGAACCAUCUUUAGUGUGGUGGUUGGAAAGUUUUUUCGGUGUAGGAUGAGCUCGCGGCCUAUCAGCUUGUUGGUGGGGUAAUGGCCUACCAAGGCUUUGACGGGUAGCCGGCCUGAGAGGGUGACCGGCCACAUUGGGACUGAGAUACGGCCCAG